Molecule: ribosomal RNA, 255 nt
Filed under: uncultured bacterium
Lineage: Bacteria
Description: partial 16S ribosomal RNA
Rfam family: Bacterial small subunit ribosomal RNA
Source: RNAcentral
GACGUAGGUGGCGAACGUUAUCCGGAAUUAUUGGGCGUAAAGGAUGCGUAGAUGGUGUAGUAAGUUAUCGGUGGAAAAUCGAGGCUCAACCUCGUGGAAGUCGGUAAUACUGCUAUGCUAGAGGAUAGGAGAGGUUAACGGAACUCCCUGUGGAGCGGUGAAAUGCGUAGAUAUAGGGAAGAACACCAAUCAGGCGAAGGCAGUUAACUAUUCUAUUCCUGACAUUGAGGCAUGAAAGCGUGGGGAGCAAAACGG